GGAUGUGAGGGCAAUCUGGCUGCAACAUCUGUCACCCCAUUGAUUGCCAGGGUUGAUUCAGCUGAUCUGGCUGGCUAGGCGGGUGUCCCCUUCCUCCCUCACCACUCCAUGUGCAUCCCUCCCGAAGCUGCACACUCAGUGGAAGAGGACAACCAUCUCAGAUAGAAGGAGUGUACCAUUCUUCGGUCAAGGGAGA
RNAcentral lists this small RNA (196 nucleotides) under Podarcis lilfordi (Lilford's wall lizard). RNAcentral describes it as "7SK RNA". It matches the Rfam family "7SK RNA", at positions 1 to 193 of the family's 331-position model. Rfam says of the family: 7SK was discovered as an abundant small nuclear RNA in the mid-70s but a possible function has only recently been suggested. Lineage: Eukaryota; Metazoa; Chordata; Lepidosauria; Squamata; Lacertidae. The record is from Rfam by way of RNAcentral.